Molecule: ribosomal RNA, 787 nt
Filed under: uncultured bacterium
Lineage: Bacteria
Description: bacterial SSU rRNA
Rfam family: Bacterial small subunit ribosomal RNA
Source: RNAcentral
AGAGUUUGAUCAUGGCUCAGAUUGAACGCUGGCGGCAUGCCUUACACAUGCAAGUCGAACGGUAACAGGUCUUCGGAUGCUGACGAGUGGCGAACGGGUGAGUAAUACAUCGGAACGUGCCCGAUCGUGGGGGAUGACGAGGCGAAAGCUUUGCUAAUACCGCAUACGAUCUACGGAUGAAAGCGGGGGAUCUUCGGACCUCGCGCGGACGGAGCGGCCGAUGGCAGAUUAGGUAGUUGGUGGGAUAAAAGCUUACCAAGCCGACGAUCUGUAGCUGGUCUGAGAGGAUGAUCAGCCACACUGGGACUGAGACACGGCCCAGACUCCUACGGGAGGCAGCAGUGGGGAAUUUUGGACAAUGGGCGAAAGCCUGAUCCAGCCAUGCCGCGUGCAGGAUGAAGGCCUUCGGGUUGUAAACUGCUUUUGUACGGAACGAAAAGCCUCUUUCUAAUAAAGAGGGGUCAUGACGGUACCGUAAGAAUAAGCACCGGCUAACUACGUGCCAGCAGCCGCGGUAAUACGUAGGGUGCAAGCGUUAAUCGGAAUUACUGGGCGUAAAGCGUGCGCAGGCGGUUUUGUAAGACAGAGGUGAAAUCCCCGGGCUCAACCUGGGAACUGCCUUUGUGACUGCAAGGCUGGAGUGCGGCAGAGGGGGAUGGAAUUCCGCGUGUAGCAGUGAAAUGCGUAGAUAUGCGGAGGAACACCGAUGGCGAAGGCAAUCCCCUGGGCCUGCACUGACGCUCAUGCACGAAAGCGUGGGGAGCAAACAGGAUUAGAUACCCCGGUA